Erpetoichthys calabaricus (reedfish) is the source of this 661-nucleotide long non-coding RNA. RefSeq lists it as uncharacterized. The record is from RefSeq and is a predicted model, not a curated record. The transcript is spliced from 2 exons. NCBI's taxonomy places the organism in Eukaryota, Metazoa, Chordata, Cladistia, Polypteriformes, Polypteridae.
GAGCGAGUCAGCCUGGUAUUGAACCAUUUGGCAAACCCCUACUGAAAGAAGCAAUUGUUAAUUCUGUCUGUUUGAAUAUCUGUGGGAACAUUCAAAACUCUCAUCACCACUACAUGACUUACAUAGAGCUCUGCUGGGAUGCCAGCCCACUAGCAUCCUCAUGGACUCUUCUGGCUAGGGUGCUACCCCUUGUGGCUCACAGUACAUUGGCAGCGCUUCCUGUCCCCAGUCGGGCUCUCCUUCUUCUUACUUUGCCAUGCUGAUUUGCAGGUUUCACUUCCUCUGUUAGGUCCUGUCUUGUGUCAUAUGUGUACCAGCUUUGAGCCUGGCAUUAUAACUAACAUGGCAUGGUGAAAACCUUACAAAACCAUUAUUUGAAAUUUUUUUCAUGUAUUUCAGAAGCUGAGAAAGCAUCGUGUUCUCCUUCACCCAACAGGCAAUAUAUCAAUUGAGCACUCAUGGUCUAUUUGUUAUGGCUGAGAUCGUUCACUCUGCUCAUCCAGAAACCUCUGAAAAGGCUGCACAGACAUUUGGGAACAAAAUAAAAGCAGUUGCCACAACAGAACAAAACCAUCUUUGUAGGUAAAGACACACACAUAAACACCUACACAGAGAGGUGCGCAGGAGCAAGUUCAUGAAUCCUGGCAACCUAGACAAAGCA